ACGGGAGGCAGCAGUGGGGAAUAUUGCACAAUGGGGGAAACCCUGAUGCAGCGACGCCGCGUGAAGGAUGAAGUAUUUCGGUAUGUAAACUUCUAUCAGCAGGGAAGAUAGUGACGGUACCUGACUAAGAAGCCCCGGCUAACUACGUGCCAGCAGCCGCGGUAAUACGUAGGGGGCAAGCGUUAUCCGGAUUUACUGGGUGUAAAGGGAGCGUAGGCGGCUGUGUAAGUCAGAAGUGAAAGCCCGCGGCUUAACUGCGGGACUGCUUUUGAAACUGCACGGCUUGAGUGCAGGAGAGGUAAGCGGAAUUCCUAGUGUAGCGGUGAAAUGCGUAGAUAUUAGGAGGAACACCAGUGGCGAAGGCGGCUUACUGGACUGUAAAUGACGCUGAGGCUCGAAAGCGUGGGGAGCAAACAGGAUUAGAUACCCUGGUA
Molecule: ribosomal RNA, 434 nt
Filed under: uncultured Lachnospiraceae bacterium
Lineage: Bacteria; Bacillati; Bacillota; Clostridia; Lachnospirales; Lachnospiraceae
Description: bacterial SSU rRNA
Rfam family: Bacterial small subunit ribosomal RNA
Source: RNAcentral